CAGUCGCCACGGUAAUACGAAGGGGGCUAGCGUUGCUCGGAAUUACUGGGCGUAAAGGGCGCGUAGGCGGACAGUUCAGUCGGGGGUGAAAGCCCGGGGCUCAACCUCGGAAUUGCCUUCGAUACUGGCUGUCUUGAGUAUGAGAGAGGUGUGUGGAACUCCGAGUGUAGAGGUGAAAUUCGUAGAUAUUCGGAAGAACACCAGUGGCGAAGGCGACACACUGGCUCAUUACUGACGCUGAGGCGCGAAAGCGUGGGGAGCAAACAGGAUUAGAUACCCCGGUAGUCCCUGUCUCUUAUAC
This 301-nucleotide ribosomal RNA is filed under the name uncultured bacterium. Its description in RNAcentral is "partial 16S ribosomal RNA". It matches the Rfam family "Bacterial small subunit ribosomal RNA", at positions 509 to 807 of the family's 1533-position model. The record is from RNAcentral.